AAUGUGACCAUACCAAACUGUUGCCUCGGCGGGGUCACGCCCCGGGUGCGUCGCAGCCCCGGAACCAGGCGCCCGCCGGAGGGACCAACCAAACUCUUUCUGUAGUCCCCUCGCGGACGUUAUUUCUUACAGCUCUGAGCAAAAAUUCAAAAUGAAUCAAAACUUUCAACAACGGAUCUCUUGGUUCUGGCAUCGAUGAAGAACGCAGCGAAAUGCGAUAAGUAAUGUGAAUUGCAGAAUUCAGUGAAUCAUCGAAUCUUUGAACGCACAUUGCGCCCGCCAGUAUUCUGGCGGGCAUGCCUGUCCGAGCGUCAUUUCAACCCUCGAACCCCUCCGGGGGGUCGGCGUUGGGGAUCGGGAACCCCUAAGACGGGAUCCCGGCCCCGAAAUACAGUGGCGGUCUCGCCGCAGCCUCUCCUGCGCAGUAGUUUGCACAACUCGCACCGGGAGCGCGGCGCGUCCACGUCCGUAAAACACCCAACUUCUGAAAUGUUGACCUCGGAUCAGGUAGGAAUACCCGCUGAACUUAAGCAUAUCAAUAAGCGGAGGA
This 550-nucleotide ribosomal RNA is filed under the name Trichoderma koningiopsis. RNAcentral describes it as "eukaryotic LSU rRNA". The stretch from base 161 to 314 matches the Rfam family "5.8S ribosomal RNA". Lineage: Eukaryota; Fungi; Ascomycota; Sordariomycetes; Hypocreales; Hypocreaceae. The record is from RNAcentral.